Molecule: ribosomal RNA, 500 nt
Filed under: uncultured bacterium
Lineage: Bacteria
Description: partial 16S ribosomal RNA
Rfam family: Bacterial small subunit ribosomal RNA
Source: RNAcentral
AUUGAACGCUGGCGGCAGGCCUAACACAUGCAAGUCGAGCGGAUGACGGGAGCUUGCUCCUUGAUUCAGCGGCGGACGGGUGAGUAAUGCCUAGGAAUCUGCCUGGUAGUGGGGGACAACGUUUCGAAAGGAACGCUAAUACCGCAUACGUCCUACGGGAGAAAGCAGGGGACCUUCGGGCCUUGCGCUAUCAGAUGAGCCUAGGUCGGAUUAGCUUGUUGGUGAGGUAAUGGCUCACCAAGGCGACGAUCCGUAACUGGUCUGAGAGGAUGGUCAGUCACACUGGAACUGAGACACGGUCCAGACUCCUACGGGAGGCAGCAGUGGGGAAUAUUGGACAAUGGGCGAAAGCCUGAUCCAGCCAUGCCGCGUGUGUGAAGAAGGUCUUCGGAUUGUAAAGCACUUUAAGUUGGGAGGAAGGGUUGUAGAUUAAUGCUCUGCAAUUUUGACGUUACCGACAGAAUAAGCACCGGCUAACUCUGUGCCAGCCGCCGCAGUAA